AGCGAACGCUGGCGGCAGGCCUAACACAUGCAAGUCGAACGAACUCUUCGGAGUUAGUGGCGGACGGGUGAGUAACACGUGGGAACGUGCCUUUUGGUUCGGAAUAACUCAGGGAAACUUGUGCUAAUACCGAAUGUGCCCUUCGGGGGAACGAUUUAUCGCCAUUAGAGCGGCCCGCGUCUGAUUAGCUAGUUGGUGAGGUAAUGGCUCACCAAGGCGACGAUCAGUAGCUGGUCUGAGAGGAUGACCAGCCACACUGGGACUGAGACACGGCCCAGACUCCUACGGGAAGCAGCAGUGGGGAAUCUUGCGCAAUGGGCGAGAGCCUGACGCAGCCAGGCCGCGUGAAUGAUGAAGGUCUUAGGAUUGUAAAAUUCUUUCACCGGGGACGAUAAUGACGGUACCCGGAGAAGAAGCCCCGGCUAACUUCGUG
RNAcentral lists this ribosomal RNA (433 nucleotides) under uncultured bacterium. Its description in RNAcentral is "partial 16S ribosomal RNA". It matches the Rfam family "Bacterial small subunit ribosomal RNA", at positions 29 to 507 of the family's 1533-position model. The record is from RNAcentral.